GUGUGUGUGUGUGUGUGAGAGAGAGAGAGAGAGAGAGAGAGAGAGAGAAUUUUAAUAUUUAUUUUUUAGUUUUUGGCGGACACAACAUUUUUGUUUGUAUGUGGUGNCUGGCAUGUGUGCGGCCCAGGUUCGAUCCUCAGCACCACAUACAAACAAAAAUGUUGUGUCCGCCAAAAACUAAAAAAUAAAUAUUAAAAUUCUCUCUCUCUCUCUCUCUCUCUCUCUCUCUCUCUCUCUCUCUCUCUCUCUUU
RNAcentral lists this microRNA precursor (251 nucleotides) under Marmota monax (woodchuck). The record is from RNAcentral. Lineage: Eukaryota; Metazoa; Chordata; Mammalia; Rodentia; Sciuridae.